This 253-nucleotide unclassified non-coding RNA is filed under the name uncultured Pseudomonadaceae bacterium. Its description in RNAcentral is "contains 16S-23S intergenic spacer region". It matches the Rfam family "Bacterial small subunit ribosomal RNA", at positions 524 to 776 of the family's 1533-position model. Lineage: Bacteria; Pseudomonadati; Pseudomonadota; Gammaproteobacteria; Pseudomonadales; Pseudomonadaceae. The record is from RNAcentral.
UACAGAGGGUGCAAGCGUUACUCGGAAUUACUGGGCGUAAAGCGCGCGUAGGUGGUGGGUUAAGUUGGAUGUGGAAGCCCCUGGCUCAACCUGGGAACUGCAUCCAAAACUGUCCGACUAGAGGACAGUAGAGGGUGGUGGAAUUUCCUGUGUAGCGGUGAAAUGCGUAGAUAUGGGAAGGAACACCAGUGGCGAAGGCGACCACCUGGACUGAUACUGACAAUGAGGUGCGAAAGCGUGGGGAGCAAACAGG